CAGUCGCCGCGGGAAUACAGAGGGUGCAAGCGUUAAUCGGAUUUACUGGGCGUAAAGGGCGCGUAGGUGGUUAUGUAAGUGAGAUGUGAAAUCCCCGGGCUCAACCUGGGAACUGCAUCUUAUACUGCGUAGCUGGAGUGCAGUAGAUGGUAGUGGAAUUUCCGGUGUAGCGGUGAAAUGCGUAGAUAUCGGAAGGAACACCAGUGGCGAAGGCGGCUACCUGGACUGACACUGACACUGAGGCGCGAAAGCGUGGGGAGCAAACAGGAUUAGAUACCCCCGUAGUCCCUGUCUCUUAUAC
Molecule: ribosomal RNA, 301 nt
Filed under: uncultured bacterium
Lineage: Bacteria
Description: partial 16S ribosomal RNA
Rfam family: Bacterial small subunit ribosomal RNA
Source: RNAcentral